This 476-nucleotide ribosomal RNA is filed under the name uncultured bacterium. RNAcentral's name for it is "partial 16S ribosomal RNA". It matches the Rfam family "Bacterial small subunit ribosomal RNA", at positions 28 to 523 of the family's 1533-position model. The record is from RNAcentral.
GAUGAACGCUGGCGGCGUGCUUAACACAUGCAAGUCGAGCGAGUGAGUUCUUCGGAACGAUCUAGCGGCGGACGGGUGAGUAACACGUGGGCAACCUGCCUCAUAGAGGGGAAUAGCCUCCCGAAAGGGAGAUUAAUACCGCAUAAAAUUAUCGAGUGGCAUCAAAUGAUAAUCAAAGGAGUAAUCCGCUAUGAGAUGGGCCCGCGGCGCAUUAGCUAGUUGGUGAGGUAACGGCUCACCAAGGCGACGAUGCGUAGCCGACCUGAGAGGGUGAUCGGCCACAUUGGGACUGAGACACUGCCCAGACUCCUACGGGAGGCAGCAGUGGGGAAUAUUGCACAAUGGGGGAAACCCUGAUGCAGCAACGCCGCGUGAGUGAUGAAGGUCUUCGGAUUGUAAAGCUCUGUCUUUGGGGACGAUAAUGACGGUACCCAAGGAGGAAGCCACGGCUAACUACGUGCCAGCAGCCGCCGUAA